GACGAACGCUGGCGGCGUGCCUAAUACAUGCAAGUCGAACGCACUCUCGUUUAGAUUGAAGGAGCUUGCUCCUGAUUGAUAAACAUUUGAGUGAGUGGCGGACGGGUGAGUAACACGUGGGUAACCUGCCCUAAAGUGGGGGAUAACAUUUGGAAACAGAUGCUAAUACCGCAUAAAACCUAAACACCGCAUGGUGUAGGGUUGAAAGAUGGUUUCGGCUAUCACUUUAGGAUGGACCCGCGGUGCAUUAGUUAGUUGGUGAGGUAAAGGCUCACCAAGACCGUGAUGCAUAGCCGACCUGAGAGGGUAAUCGGCCACACUGGGACUGAGACACGGCCCAGACUCCUACGGGAGGCAGCAGUAGGGAAUCUUCCACAAUGGACGAAAGUACUGAUGGAGCAACGCCGCGUGAGUGAAGAAGGUUUCGGAUCGUAAAACUCUAGUUGUUGGAGAAGAAUGUAUCUGAUAGUAACU
RNAcentral lists this ribosomal RNA (474 nucleotides) under uncultured bacterium. Its description in RNAcentral is "bacterial SSU rRNA". It matches the Rfam family "Bacterial small subunit ribosomal RNA", at positions 28 to 474 of the family's 1533-position model. The record is from RNAcentral.